Molecule: long non-coding RNA, 149 nt
Organism: Eurytemora carolleeae
Lineage: Eukaryota; Metazoa; Arthropoda; Copepoda; Calanoida; Temoridae
Exons: 2
Source: RefSeq, a predicted model, not a curated record
CCUGAGGGUUCUAGAGUAGCUCUAACUUGUCAAUAUUUCAACCUGAGCCCACUGUGUGAAUCCAGGAGAUGCUCCUCAUAUACUGGAGACAAGGAUUUCUUACAGGAUAUCAUGAGCCAGACUAGAUAUGAAGAGAGGGAUCUGCAAGG